Molecule: ribosomal RNA, 401 nt
Filed under: uncultured bacterium
Lineage: Bacteria
Description: bacterial SSU rRNA
Rfam family: Bacterial small subunit ribosomal RNA
Source: RNAcentral
UGAGUAACGCGUGAACAACCUGACCCAAAGAGGGGGAUAACAUUUGGAAACAGAUGCGUAAUACCGCAUAAGACCACAACGUCAACAUGGCGAAGGGGUCAAAGGAGCAAUCCGCUUUGGGAGGGUUCGCGUCCCAUUAGGUAGUAGGCGGGGUAACAGCCCACCUAGCCAACGAUGGGUAGCCGAGCUGACGAGGCUGAUCGGCCACACUGGAACUGAGACACGGUCCAGACUCCUACGGGAGGCAGCAGUGGGGAAUAUUGGGCAAUGGGCGCAAGCCUGACCCAAGCAACGCCGCGUGAGGGAAGAAGGUUUUCGGAUUGUAAACCUCUGUCGCAGAAGACGAAGGAAGUGACGGUAUUCUGUGAGGAAGCCCCGGCUAACUACGUGCCAGCAGCAGC